This 348-nucleotide unclassified non-coding RNA is filed under the name soil metagenome. RNAcentral's name for it is "partial contains 5.8S ribosomal RNA, internal transcribed spacer 2, and large subunit ribosomal RNA". The stretch from base 1 to 120 matches the Rfam family "5.8S ribosomal RNA", at positions 35 to 154 of the family's 154-position model. The record is from RNAcentral.
GAUGAAGAACGUAGCGAAAUGCGAUAAGUAAUGUGAAUUGCAGAAUUCAGUGAAUCAUCGAGUCUUUGAACGCACAUUGCGCCCCCUGGUAUUCCGGGGGGCAUGCCUGUCCGAGCGUCAUUGCUGCCCUCAAGCACGGCUUGUGUGUUGGGCCCCCGUCCCCGGUUUCCCCCGGGGACGGGCCCGAAAGGCAGCGGCGGCACCGCGUCCGGUCCUCGAGCGUAUGGGGCUUUGUCACCCGCUCUGUAGGCCCGGCCGGCGCCAGCCGACACCCAACUUUAUUUCUAAGGUUGACAUCGGAUCAGGUAGGGAUACCCGCUGAACUUAAGCAUAUCAAUAAGCGGAGGA